Molecule: long non-coding RNA, 202 nt
Filed under: Elaeis guineensis (African oil palm)
Lineage: Eukaryota; Viridiplantae; Streptophyta; Magnoliopsida; Arecales; Arecaceae
Description: long non-coding RNA (EGUI_LNC010469)
Source: RNAcentral
AAUGAAUACUUUUAUUCUUUCCCUACAGAACUUUUGAAAUAUCGUUCUCCUUUGACCCUUCCCAGACCAUGACCUGGGUGUUACUAAUUGCUUCUUAAAUGAUUCUAAACUGAAAUAGUAGAGGCACUGGCAAACCCGACAAAAAGAGGGCUAUUAGAGAAACCAUUAAAAGAUCCAAAUGUCUGAUUCUAUGCCUACAAGA